Molecule: ribosomal RNA, 1554 nt
Filed under: Klebsiella pneumoniae
Lineage: Bacteria; Pseudomonadati; Pseudomonadota; Gammaproteobacteria; Enterobacterales; Enterobacteriaceae
Description: bacterial SSU rRNA
Rfam family: Bacterial small subunit ribosomal RNA
Source: RNAcentral
ACUUAAAUUGAAGAGUUUGAUCAUGGCUCAGAUUGAACGCUGGCGGCAGGCCUAACACAUGCAAGUCGAGCGGUAGCACAGAGAGCUUGCUCUCGGGUGACGAGCGGCGGACGGGUGAGUAAUGUCUGGGAAACUGCCUGAUGGAGGGGGAUAACUACUGGAAACGGUAGCUAAUACCGCAUAAUGUCGCAAGACCAAAGUGGGGGACCUUCGGGCCUCAUGCCAUCAGAUGUGCCCAGAUGGGAUUAGCUAGUAGGUGGGGUAACGGCUCACCUAGGCGACGAUCCCUAGCUGGUCUGAGAGGAUGACCAGCCACACUGGAACUGAGACACGGUCCAGACUCCUACGGGAGGCAGCAGUGGGGAAUAUUGCACAAUGGGCGCAAGCCUGAUGCAGCCAUGCCGCGUGUGUGAAGAAGGCCUUCGGGUUGUAAAGCACUUUCAGCGGGGAGGAAGGCGGUGAGGUUAAUAACCUCAUCGAUUGACGUUACCCGCAGAAGAAGCACCGGCUAACUCCGUGCCAGCAGCCGCGGUAAUACGGAGGGUGCAAGCGUUAAUCGGAAUUACUGGGCGUAAAGCGCACGCAGGCGGUCUGUCAAGUCGGAUGUGAAAUCCCCGGGCUCAACCUGGGAACUGCAUUCGAAACUGGCAGGCUAGAGUCUUGUAGAGGGGGGUAGAAUUCCAGGUGUAGCGGUGAAAUGCGUAGAGAUCUGGAGGAAUACCGGUGGCGAAGGCGGCCCCCUGGACAAAAACUGACGCUCAGGUGCGAAAGCGUGGGGAGCAAACAGGAUUAGAUACCCUGGUAGUCCACGCCGUAAACGAUGUCGAUUUGGAGGUUGUGCCCUUGAGGCGUGGCUUCCGGAGCUAACGCGUUAAAUCGACCGCCUGGGGAGUACGGCCGCAAGGUUAAAACUCAAAUGAAUUGACGGGGGCCCGCACAAGCGGUGGAGCAUGUGGUUUAAUUCGAUGCAACGCGAAGAACCUUACCUGGUCUUGACAUCCACAGAACUUUCCAGAGAUGGAUUGGUGCCUUCGGGAACUGUGAGACAGGUGCUGCAUGGCUGUCGUCAGCUCGUGUUGUGAAAUGUUGGGUUAAGUCCCGCAACGAGCGCAACCCUUAUCCUUUGUUGCCAGCGGUCCGGCCGGGAACUCAAAGGAGACUGCCAGUGAUAAACUGGAGGAAGGUGGGGAUGACGUCAAGUCAUCAUGGCCCUUACGACCAGGGCUACACACGUGCUACAAUGGCAUAUACAAAGAGAAGCGACCUCGCGAGAGCAAGCGGACCUCAUAAAGUAUGUCGUAGUCCGGAUUGGAGUCUGCAACUCGACUCCAUGAAGUCGGAAUCGCUAGUAAUCGUAGAUCAGAAUGCUACGGUGAAUACGUUCCCGGGCCUUGUACACACCGCCCGUCACACCAUGGGAGUGGGUUGCAAAAGAAGUAGGUAGCUUAACCUUCGGGAGGGCGCUUACCACUUUGUGAUUCAUGACUGGGGUGAAGUCGUAACAAGGUAACCGUAGGGGAACCUGCGGUUGGAUCACCUCCUUACCUUAAAGAA